AGCGAACGUUAGCGGCGCGCCUAACACAUGCAAGUCGCACGAGAAACGGAGCAAUCCGCGGUACAGUGGCGCACGGGUGAGUAACACGUGGAUGACCUUCCCUGGAGUGGUGGAUAACCUGCCGAAAGGCGGGCUAAUACAGCAUGGGACCACGACGCUUUGGCGAUGUGGUGAAAGCGGGCCUCUAUAUAUAAGCUCGCGCUCCGGGACGGGUCCGCGUCCCAUCAGCUAGUUGGUGAGGUAACGGCUCACCAAGGCAACGACGGGUAGCUGGUCUGAGAGGAUGGCCAGCCACACUGGAACUGAGACACGGUCCAGACUCCUACGGGAGGCAGCAGUGGGGAAUCUUGCGCAAUGGGCGAAAGCCUGACGCAGCGACGCCGCGUGGGCGAAGAAGGCCUCGG
RNAcentral lists this ribosomal RNA (404 nucleotides) under uncultured bacterium. RNAcentral describes it as "bacterial SSU rRNA". It matches the Rfam family "Bacterial small subunit ribosomal RNA", at positions 30 to 420 of the family's 1533-position model. The record is from RNAcentral.